GACGAACGCUGGCGGCGUGCCUAAUACAUGCAAGUAGAACGCUGAAGCGAGGAGCUUGCUCUUCUUGGAUGAGUUGCGAACGGGUGAGUAACGCGUAGGUAACCUGCCUUGUAGCGGGGGAUAACUAUUGGAAACGAUAGCUAAUACCGCAUAACAAUGGAUGACACAUGUCAUUUAUUUGAAAGGGGCAAUUGCUCCACUACAAGAUGGACCUGCGUUGUAUUAGCUAGUAGGUGAGGUAACGGCUCACCUAGGCGACGAUACAUAGCCGACCUGAGAGGGUGAUCGGCCACACUGGGACUGAGACACGGCCCAGACUCCUACGGGAGGCAGCAGUAGGGAAUCUUCGGCAAGGGGGGCAACCCUGACCGAGCAACGCCGCGUGAGGGAAGAAGGGUUUCGGAUCGUAAAGCUCUGUUGUAAGUCAAGAACGAGUGUGAGAGUGGAAAGUUCACACUGUGACGGUAGCUUACCAGAAAGGGACGGCUAACUACGUG
RNAcentral lists this ribosomal RNA (497 nucleotides) under uncultured bacterium. RNAcentral's name for it is "partial 16S ribosomal RNA". It matches the Rfam family "Bacterial small subunit ribosomal RNA", at positions 28 to 507 of the family's 1533-position model. The record is from RNAcentral.